GUCAAUGUGGUAUAGUGGUUUGAGCAUUGGACUAGGACUUUGGAGACCAGGGUUUGAAUCCCAGUUUGGCCA
Molecule: transfer RNA, 72 nt
Filed under: Phrynosoma platyrhinos (Desert horned lizard)
Lineage: Eukaryota; Metazoa; Chordata; Lepidosauria; Squamata; Phrynosomatidae
Description: tRNA-OTHER
Source: RNAcentral